RNAcentral lists this ribosomal RNA (253 nucleotides) under uncultured bacterium. Its description in RNAcentral is "partial 16S ribosomal RNA". It matches the Rfam family "Bacterial small subunit ribosomal RNA", at positions 524 to 776 of the family's 1533-position model. The record is from RNAcentral.
GACGAAGGUGGCGAGCGUUGUUCGGAAUCACUGGGCAUAAAGCGCACGUAGGCGGUGUCAUAAGUCGGGUGUGAAAUCCCUCGGCCUAACCGAGGAACUGCGCCCGAUACUGUGAUGCUUGAGGACCAGAGGGGUGCAUGGAAUUUCCGGUGGAGCGGUGAAAUGCGUAGAGAUCGGAAAGAACACCAACGGCGAAAGCACUCUGCUGGGCCGACACUGACACUGAGAGACGAAAGCUAGGGGAGCGAAUGGG